GGCAGCAGUGGGGAAUAUUGCACAAUGGGGGAAACCCUGAUGCAGCCAUGCCGCGUGUGUGAAGAAGGCCUUCGGGUUGUAAAGCACUUUCAGCGAGGAGGAAAGGUUGGCGCCUAAUACGUGUCAACUGUGACGUUACUCGCAGAAGAAGCACCGGCUAACUCCGUGCCAGCAGCCGCGGUAAUACGGAGGGUGCAAACGUUAAUCGGAAUUACUGGGCGUAAAGCGCACGCAGGCGGUUGGAUAAGUUAGAUGUGAAAGCCCCGGGCUCAACCUGGGAAUUGCAUUUAAAACUGUCCAGCUAGAGUCUUGUAGAGGGGGGUAGAAUUCCAGGUGUAGCGGUGAAAUGCGUAGAGAUCUGGAGGAAUACCGGUGGCGAAGGCGGCCCCCUGGACAAAGACUGACGCUCAGGUGCGAAAGCGUGGGGAGCAAACAGGAUUAGAUACCCUGGUAGUCCACGCCGUAAACGAUGUCGAUUUGGAGGCUGUGUCCUUGAGACGUGGCUUCCGGAGCUAACGCGUUAAAUCGACCGCCUGGGGAGUACGGCCGCAAGGUUAAAACUCAAAUGAAUUGACGGGGGCUCGCACAAGCGGUGGAGCAUGUGGUUUAAUUCGAUGCAACGCGAAGAACCUUACCUGGCCUUGACAUGUCUGGAAUCCUGCAGAGAUGCGGGAGUGCCUUCGGGAAUCAGAACACAGGUGCUGCAUGGCUGUCGUCAGCUCGUGUCGUGAGAUG
Molecule: ribosomal RNA, 735 nt
Filed under: uncultured Aeromonas sp.
Lineage: Bacteria; Pseudomonadati; Pseudomonadota; Gammaproteobacteria; Aeromonadales; Aeromonadaceae
Description: bacterial SSU rRNA
Rfam family: Bacterial small subunit ribosomal RNA
Source: RNAcentral